Molecule: transfer RNA, 74 nt
Filed under: Soehngenia saccharolytica
Lineage: Bacteria; Bacillati; Bacillota; Tissierellia; Tissierellales; Tissierellaceae
Also listed under: 9 other names
Description: tRNA-Gly
Rfam family: tRNA
About the family: Transfer RNA (tRNA) molecules are approximately 80 nucleotides in length. Their secondary structure includes four short double-helical elements and three loops (D, anti-codon, and T loops).
Source: RNAcentral
GCGGGUGUAGCUCAGUGGUAGAGCACUGGCUUCCCAAGCCAGCUGCGAGGGUUCGAUUCCCUUCACCCGCUCCA